GCCAGGCAUGGUGGUGCAUGCCUGUAAUCCCAGCUACUUGGGAGGCUGAGGCAUGAGAAUCACUUGAACCCAGGAGGCGGAGGUUGCGGUGAGCUGAGAUCAAACCACUGCACUCCAGCCUGGGCGACAGAGUGAGACCCUGUCUCAA
Molecule: non-coding RNA, 148 nt
Filed under: Gorilla gorilla gorilla (western lowland gorilla)
Lineage: Eukaryota; Metazoa; Chordata; Mammalia; Primates; Hominidae
Source: Rfam by way of RNAcentral